Molecule: unclassified non-coding RNA, 253 nt
Filed under: uncultured Legionellaceae bacterium
Lineage: Bacteria; Pseudomonadati; Pseudomonadota; Gammaproteobacteria; Legionellales; Legionellaceae
Description: contains 16S-23S intergenic spacer region
Rfam family: Bacterial small subunit ribosomal RNA
Source: RNAcentral
UACGGAGGGUGCGAGCGUUAAUCGGAAUUACUGGGCGUAAAGGGUGCGUAGGUGGUAGAUUAAGUUAUCUGUGAAAGUCCUGGGCUUAACCUGGGUUGGUCAGAUGAUACUGAUUUACUUGAGUAUAGGAGAGGGCAGUGGAAUUUCCGGUGUAGCGGUGAAAUGCGUAGAUAUCGGAAGGAACACCAGUGGCGAAGGCGGCUGUCUGGUCUAAUACUGACACUGAGGCACGAAAGCGUGGGGAGCAAACAGG